GGGGGCGAUUGGUCUCGACAGCGGCUGUCGAGUGAGAAGAAGCGGGCCGAGGAAGGCGACGAUGAUCUCGUUAACCAUCUGUCGCAAAACAAUUAAGCGCCGACAACAGUCAGCGCGAGUUCGCCCUCGCCGCUUAAGCGAGUAGCGACUCCGUCAGACCGGGAGUGCCUCUGGCCCGGAUCCUGGCGCCGACAAAGAGGAUCACCACCCGAGCCGGCCACGGACUCGGGUGGGACAACCAACAGUGGCUGGGCCUGUCACAUCGGCUAGUUCGCGUGACCGAUGGGGCCGAGUAGAGACCUAGCGGACUGCGCCCGGAGAAGGACUCACAACACACCGUUGGACGCGGGUUCGAUUCCCGCCGCCUCCACAA
Molecule: transfer-messenger RNA, 373 nt
Filed under: Actinomycetota bacterium
Lineage: Bacteria; Bacillati; Actinomycetota
Rfam family: transfer-messenger RNA
About the family: Bacterial tmRNA, also known as 10Sa RNA or SsrA, is named for its dual tRNA and mRNA-like properties. Its role is to liberate the mRNA from a stalled ribosome. To accomplish this part of the tmRNA is used as a reading frame that ends in a translation stop signal.
Source: RNAcentral